RNAcentral lists this ribosomal RNA (258 nucleotides) under uncultured bacterium. RNAcentral describes it as "partial 16S ribosomal RNA". It matches the Rfam family "Bacterial small subunit ribosomal RNA", at positions 99 to 354 of the family's 1533-position model. The record is from RNAcentral.
CGGACGGGUGAGUAACGCGUGAGCAACCUGCCUUUCAGAGGGGGGAUAACGUUUGGAAACGAACGCUAAUACCGCAUGAGACUACAGUACUACAUGGUACAGUGGCCAAAGGAGCAAUCCGCUGAAAGAUGGGCUCGCGUCCGAUUAGAUAGUUGGCGGGGUAACGGCCCACCAAGUCGACGAUCGGUAGCCGGACUGAGAGGUUGAACGGCCACAUUGGGACUGAGACACGGCCCAGACUCCUACGGAAGGCAGCAG